RNAcentral lists this ribosomal RNA (253 nucleotides) under uncultured bacterium. RNAcentral describes it as "partial 16S ribosomal RNA". It matches the Rfam family "Bacterial small subunit ribosomal RNA", at positions 524 to 776 of the family's 1533-position model. The record is from RNAcentral.
UACGGGGGGGGCAAGCAUUGUUCGGAAUUACUGGGCGUAAAGGGCGCGUAGGCGGCCUGCUAAGUCGGACGUGAAAUCCCUCGGCUCAACCGAGGAACUGCGUCCGAUACUGGUGGGCUUGAAUCCGGGAGAGGGAUGUGGAAUUCCAGGUGUAGCGGUGAAAUGCGUAGAUAUCUGGAGGAACACCGGUGGCGAAGGCGGCAUCCUGGACCGGUAUUGACGCUGAGGCGCGAAAGCUAGGGGAGCAAACGGG